RNAcentral lists this ribosomal RNA (403 nucleotides) under uncultured bacterium. RNAcentral describes it as "partial 16S ribosomal RNA". It matches the Rfam family "Bacterial small subunit ribosomal RNA", at positions 28 to 526 of the family's 1533-position model. The record is from RNAcentral.
GACGAACGCUGGCGGCGUGCCUAAUACAUGCAAGUCGAACGCAGUGGGGACGGGUGAGUAACACGUGGGUAACCUCCCAUCAGAGGGGAUAACACUUGGAAACAGGUGCUAAACCGAUACUGAUGGAUGGACCCGGUGUGCAUUCGCUAGUUGGUGGGGUAGCGGCUCACCAAGGCCACGAUGCAUAGCCGAUCUGAGAGGGUGAGCGGCCACACUGGGACUGAGACCAGGCCCAGACUCCUACGGGAGGCAGCAGUAGGGAAUCUUCGGCAAUGGACGAAAGUCGGACGGAGCAACGCCGCGUGAUUGAAGAAGGUUUUCGGAUCGUAAAACUCUGUUGUUAGAGAAGCGGUAUCUAACCAGAAAGCAACGGCUAACUACGUGCCAGCAGCCGCGGUAAUAC